Molecule: long non-coding RNA, 4179 nt
Filed under: Equus caballus (horse)
Lineage: Eukaryota; Metazoa; Chordata; Mammalia; Perissodactyla; Equidae
Description: lncRNA (ENSECAG00000046121.1)
Source: RNAcentral
UUUCUGAAUAUACUCUUUGCACUUAAGUUCUUGUUUCAGGGUCAGCCACUGGGACAACCCGAAGUAAGACAUCCGGUGAGGUAAGAAUCACCCUGCCUGCUUCAUAGAUGAGGGAACUGAGGCUCAAGGUCACACGCACGCUUCCCCCACUCUCUCUAGUUGGAUGCUGGGGUUCACAUGGAGCUUCAUGCACACUUGGCAAACCCCGGGGGCAGCUCUGACGGGAGGAUCUUUCCUGGCAUUCUCCACCAUCGACUCCAGUGUUGGCACACUGCCCAUGUCGCUACCACAGAUGAAACCAAGUAGCAGCAAGGGAUGAAUAAUACACUUGGCUCAUCUUUAUUAAUAUGUAUUGAGGUCCAUUGAGUGCCAAGUGCUGACCCACGCCGUGCAAUAAAUAUUAACUCAGGACAAUGACACGGAUCAUUACCUCAGAAAUGAAGGCGGAUAUUAUCCCCAGAUCCCAUAGCUCGGAGGAAGCAACUCAAGGGGGUUAUAAGAACACGGUUUAAAAAGAAAGAGAGGCAGAAAGCCAGUGUCUUCCCAAGUGUCUUCAGUGUCUUUCCAGGCUCUCCCAGGGCAUAUCACCAGCCUUGUCCUUCCUCUGCAGUCCCAGCCGCACCCAACUUCUGGGUCAUUCUUGAGCGGGCUCAUUUCCACCCACAGUGAGCCUUUGGAACUAGCUUGCUGCUAUGGCAGGCAACCUCUAAGAGCCCCAGUCAUCCACGCCUCCUGGUGCUCAUGUCCUCAUGCUGCAUGGAAUCCCCUGGCCUUGGGUGUAGACUCCACUCUCUGACUCAUUUCUGGCAGAACACGGCAAACGUGAUGAGAUGUCACCUCUGAGAUGAGGAUGUGAAACUCUCACUUCCCUCUUGCUGGCACUGUGGCUCUUUCACUCAUUCACUCUAAGGAAAGCCACACUGAGAGCUGCCCUGGGGAGGUGUCCCUGUGGCCAGGAACUGAGGGCAACCCUCCAGCCAACAACCAGCGAAGAACUGAGGCUCUCGGCCCAACAGCCUGCGUGGAAUGGAAUCCCACCAACAACCAUGGCAGUGAGCUUGAAAGUGGCCCCUCCCCAUCUCGAGCCUGAGAUGACCACAGCCCCAGCUGGACCGGGAACGCAGCCUGCAGACUCUGAGAUGGAGGACUCGGGUAAGUUGUGCCUGGAUUUCUGACCCAGAGAAACUGUGAGCUAAUUCAUACAUGCUGUUUUAAGAAAUUUUAGGAUAAUUAUUACACAGCAACAGAUAACUAAUAUAGAUGGCUUCUCAUAAUCUUCAGUGUCGUCCCACCUGACACGGCCAGGCGAACAGUGCCACAUCUAAUGCUGUUACCAGUUCUACUUCUCCCAGUUUCACUUCCAUUAACACUACAAUGCCUGGUGCCAAGGAAGUGCUCAAGAAGUACUGGAUGCCACCUGUCUUAGUCUGUUUGGGCUGCUCUAACAACAUAGCACAGACUGGCUGGCUCAUAGCCAACACAAGUUUAUUUCACACAGUCCUGGAGGCUGGAAGUCCAAGAUCAGGGUGUCACCAUGCUCAAGUGAGGGCUCUCUUCCAGACUGCAGACUUCUUGUUGUGUCCUCACGGGGCAGAGGGGUGAGAAGUUCUCUCAGGAUUCUUCCUAAGGGAACUAAUCCCAUUCAUGAGGGCUCCACCCUCAUGACUUCAUCACAUCCCAAAGGCCCCACCUCUUAAUACCAUCACCUUAGGGCUUAUGGUUUCAACAUAUGAAUUUUCAGGAGACACAAACAUUCAGACCUUGGCCCUACCAUCAUCAACACCAUCAUUAUCAUCAACACCAUCAUUAUCAUCAACAUCAUCAUCAUCACCGUUGUUACUUAACGAUCAUUACUGUGAAGAAGCUUCUGUGUAUUACGGGUAACAAGCCCUUUACCUACAUUAUCAUAUUUAAACCUCACAUCUGAUCUUUUCAAGAUGCAAAUCUGACCCCUGACUCCGAUGCCCCCAUGUUGGCUAAAACAUCUUUUUGAUUUUCCAGUUGUCUUAUGAUGUACAUCAAAAUCCCUGACUCGUUCUAGGCAUCCUUCCACUCUCCCUGUGUCAGGCCGCUGGCUUUGAGUUCCUCCAAAGCCCCUUGCUUCCUCCUGCCUCAGGUUCCCUACACCUGCUGCCCUGUGUGCAGUGCCCCCUCCCUCCCUGUGCCUCCUGUCUCAUGAAUUCCACCUCUGAGCUCUCUGCUCCAGCUCUCAGCUCCGCGUGGCUUCAGCUGACACCUGCCCACCCAGAUUAAAAGGCCUGUGACAGACUCUCACAAGCCCUAUACAUCUCUUUACAGCAUCUUUCCCAGAGCUGAUUUUCUUUAUUUGUUGAUUCUUUGAUGAAUUUCUAUCUCCCUCCCUGGACCCUGAACCCCAUGAGGGUGGAAACUAUAGGUGCCUUCUUCCUUGAACACUGCAAAUGCCUUGUUGGUGUGCCAUUUUUCUCCAGCCCUUUUAAUAGGGCUGCACAAAGUAGGCACUCAAUAGGUACUGAAUGAAUGAGGCAACCAUAUUUUAAAAAUGAGGAAGCUCAGAGAGCUUAAGUAACUUACUCCAGAUCACAAUGCUGAUAAAUGGCAAAGCCAGAUUUGGACUCAGGCAGUGGAAGAGUUAGGAUCUUUAUGUAACCCUUGCACAUAAAAGCACUGCAUUCCUCAGGCCUAAAAUGUCCCUUUUCUUGAUAAACUGGAAGCCACAGAAAGGAGUCUUCCUGGACUCACCUUAAACACCUGGUGAAUCCUGUGUGUUACACAGUAUGUACGUCCCACUUUCAUUCAUUCAGUCAACACACUUUGCCGGAGCCCUGACUAUAUAUAUACCAGACUCUGCUGUGGACUGGGCAGUCAGAGCUGACCAAGAAAGAUAACCUCUUUUCUGAACUUUAAUAGGUAGCUCCAGAGCCUUCCACCUUGUCCCCUCCCCUCCAGGCCAUACAGCUAUCCUACGACAUUGCUCAGCUUAAAAGUCCUUCCUGGCUUCUCACUUCACAGGAGAGGGACUCCACACUGCUGUCACAAUCUGGCACUAACCUAAUUUUCCAACCUUCAAGUGUCCUGCUUUCCAGGCAAACUGAGCCAUUGCUAAUCCCUGUGCACAUCCAGGGCCUUCCAGCUCCGCCUCCCUACCCUCCCCUGACUAUAGGACAAUCAUUUUCUACUCUGUGGUCUUUGUUUUUCAAAUGAACAUCCAUACCCCAGGGCACUGGGUGUUCUUUGAGGAAGGAUCCACUUAUAAUUCAUGUGCUCCUAGUUACACCUCUAGUAAUUCCACUAGCAAUGAAGAUGGGGACUUUGAUAUAGUAGGCAACAAUGAAUACUUGUUGAAAAAAAUGACAUAAAUAAUAAUGUUAGUAAUAACAAUAAGCUAAGAGUUAUUAAGUGUGAACUAUGUCCCUGACACUCCUCAAAAUGCUUCACACGCAUAACUCAUUUAAUCCUCACAACCACUGUGAGAGGCAGUUUCCGACAGGCUCCCGUGGAUCCCUCGCGCCUUCUGGCAGUCACACCAUGUCUAAUCCCCUCCCCUGAGUGUGGGCUGGACCUGGUGACUUACUUCUAAUGAACAGAAUACACAAAAGUGAUAGGAUGCCACCUCUGAGGUUAGGUGACAAAAGACUAGGACUUCCGGCUGGCUGGCAUUCUCUCUUUUCCUCUCCCUUGCUCUCUCUGAUCAUCAAACUGACACGCUGCGAGCUGCCUUACGCAGAGAUCCAUAUGGCGAGGGACCAUGGGAAGCUCCUGGACAACAGCGUGGGAGUAACUGAGAGCUGGAACUCAGACCCAACCAUCGGAAAGCAACUGUAUCCUGACAACACCGCCUUGAGUGAGCUUGGAACCUGACCCACCUCAAGCCUUCAAGUCAGUGCAGCCACAGCUGAGCCCGUGACUGCAGCCUUGAGAGAGGCCCAGAGCCAGAGGACCCACAUGGGCCGUGCCUAAGCCCUUGACCCACGAAAACUGUGAGAUGGUAAAUGUUUUUCAAGCCACUGAGUUUUGGGGUAAUAUGUUACACAGCAAUAGAUAGCCAAUACAACCACUUAAGUACUCUUACUACCCCAUUUUGUAGAUUAGUAAAGCAAGGCCCAGAAUGGUUCAGCAAUUUCAUGCAAAUCAUGCAGCUCAUAAGCAGCAGAGCCAGGAUUUGACCCAAGGCAGUCUGGCUCCAGAAUCUUCACUCUC